This 488-nucleotide ribosomal RNA is filed under the name uncultured bacterium. Its description in RNAcentral is "partial 16S ribosomal RNA". It matches the Rfam family "Bacterial small subunit ribosomal RNA", at positions 30 to 507 of the family's 1533-position model. The record is from RNAcentral.
UGAACGCUGGCGGCAUGCUUUACACAUGCAAGUCGGACGGCAGCACAGAGAAGCUUGCUUCUUGGGUGGCGAGUGGCGAACGGGUGAGUAACAUAUCGGAACGUACCGAGCAGUGGGGGAUAACUAAUCGAAAGAUUAGCUAAUACCGCAUAUUUUCUGAGGAAGAAAGCAGGGGACCUUUGGGCCUUGCGCUGUUUGAGCGGCCGAUAUCUGAUUAGCUAGUUGGUGGGGUAAAGGCCUACCAAGGCGACGAUCAGUAGCGGGUCUGAGAGGAUGAUCCGCCACACUGGGACUGAGACACGGCCCAGACUCCUACGGGAGGCAGCAGUGGGGAAUUUUGGACAAUGGGCGCAAGCCUGAUCCAGCCAUGCCGCGUGUCUGAAGAAGGCCUUCGGGUUGUAAAGGACUUUUGUCAGGGAAGAAAAGGGCGGGGUUAAUACCCCUGUCUGAUGACGGUACCUGAAGAAUAAGCACCGGCUAACUACGUG